RNAcentral lists this ribosomal RNA (1377 nucleotides) under wastewater metagenome. RNAcentral's name for it is "bacterial LSU rRNA". It matches the Rfam family "Bacterial large subunit ribosomal RNA", at positions 1120 to 2505 of the family's 2925-position model. The record is from RNAcentral.
CCUUAAAAGAGUGCGUAAUAGCUCACUGGUCGAGUAGUUGUGCACCGAUAAUUCAACGGGGCUAAGCAUGACACCGAAGCUUUGACAGAAUACUAGAUGUUCUGGGUAGGGGAGCAUUCCGUGUACGGAAGAAGCAGUGGUGGAAACCAUUGUGGACGGGACGGAAGAGAGAAUGCAGGCAUGAGUAACGAAAAGAGGGGUGAGAUCCCCCUCCGCCGAAAGCCUAAGGUUUCCAGGGUAAAGGUAAUCUACCCAAGGGUUAGUCGGCCCCUAAGGCGAGGACGAAAGUCGUAGUCGAUGGGAAGCUGGUCAAUAUUCCAGCACCCCUUAUUGUAUCGAAGGAAUGACGCAUAGGGCGAAACACUGCCGGGCGACGGUUGUCCCGGUCGAAGCAUCGAGCCGAUGAGACUUGCAGUCAAAUGCGCAAGUUGAGGUAAGAUGUGAGCGAGCUGGCCUACGGGUUGGCGAAGAGUGCGUAGUCGUCGUGCCAGGAAAUAGUUUCUAAGAAUAUACAGUAAGGGACCGUACUAUAAACCGACACAGGUGGGCAAGCUGAGAAUGCAAAGGCGUACGGAAGAACUCGCGUAAAGGAACUCGGCAAAAUGCAUGCGUAACUUCGGGAGAAGCAUGGCUUACGAGAGUAAGUCGCAGAGAAAUGGCCAAAGCGACUGUUUACCAAAAACACAAGUCUAUGCGAACCAGCAAUGGGAAGUAUAUGGACUGACACCUGCCCGGUGCUGGAAGGUCAAGGGGAGAGGUUAGAUAGCAAUAUCGAAGCUUUGAACUCAAGCCCCAGUAAACGGCGGCCGUAACUAUAACGGUCCUAAGGUAGCGAAAUUCCUUGUCGGGUAAGUUCCGACCCGCACGAAUGGUGUAACGAUUUUGGCACUGUCUCUACGCGAGAUCCGGUGAAAUUGAAGUUCGGGUGAAGAUGCCCGAUACUUGUGGUUAGACGGAAAGACCCCGUGAACCUUUACUUUAACUUGACAUUGGGAUUCGGACCAAGAUGUGUAGGAUAGGUGGGAGACUGAGAACUGUGACCGUCAGGUUGCAGGGAGUCGUCGGUGAAAUACCACCCUUGUUGGUCCGCAUUCCUAACCCACGCCGUCAUCCGGUGUGGGGACCGUGUCAGGCGGGAAGUUUGACUGGGGCGGUCGCCUCCUAAAGGGUAACGGAGGCGCGCGAAGGUCUCCUUAGAGCGGUUGGGAAUCGCUCGUCAAGUGUAAAGGCACAAGGAGGCUUGACUGCGAGACAUACAAGUCGAGCAGGUACGAAAGUAGGUCUUAGUGAUCUGGCGGUAGCGAGUGGAAGCGCCGUCACUUAACGGAUAAAAGGUACUCCGGGGAUAACAGGCUGAUCUUGCCCAAGAGUUCAUAU